This 213-nucleotide non-coding RNA is filed under the name Noviluteimonas dokdonensis. The record is from RNAcentral. Lineage: Bacteria; Pseudomonadati; Pseudomonadota; Gammaproteobacteria; Lysobacterales; Lysobacteraceae. RNAcentral also lists the same sequence under 1 other name.
CGAUAUCUUGGGGUCGUCGGUUCCGCGGGCGCAGGCUCGCGGAUGAAAAGGGAAGCCGGUCGAAUACCGGCGCUGCCCCGCAGCGGUAGGUGGAAACGAAGUCGCGCACGCACUGGGGCGGUGGCCCCGGGAAGCGGCGACGAGUAGGUGACGCGGGGUCCGCCCCGCGUCGUGUCCACGAGCCCGAAGACCUGCCGACAGCCGCGCGAUGCA